This 4284-nucleotide long non-coding RNA is filed under the name Malus domestica (apple). RNAcentral's name for it is "long non-coding RNA (MDOM_LNC011561)". The record is from RNAcentral. Lineage: Eukaryota; Viridiplantae; Streptophyta; Magnoliopsida; Rosales; Rosaceae.
CUCACAUUAUAAUAAAAAUAAUUUUUUUUCUUCUAAACACCACAAUACUAAACCAGCGAGCUUUCGCGUGCAGACGCCCGUCCAGGACACUAAAUGUGACCAAACACAAAGGGAUGGGCUCAAAAUACAAGUAGGGGUGUUUAGUGGGUGGUUGGACGGCCGCGUUGUUCAGACAUCCACACCUAGAAUUUCUCCAGUGGGUGGCCUGCUGAUAGGAAACAAACGUUAGAUCACAUUAAUUGCUUCCCAAAGAAAGUCAAAUCUCCUCAACGAACCCAGUAAUGAAGAAGCAGACUCCUCUUUUAAACACUGAAUUCAACAAACAAACUACAAUGGAAAAAGAAAAACGAAAUCAGUAUUCAGGAUUCAGUAUUUACAACAAAAUGGAGCCUUCGUAUACUUACCGUACGAAUUUUUUGUUUAAAUUCCUUCCCGGGUUCUUUCUCUUAUGCAUGAUCUCGUGCCCGGAAUCCACAUUCGGAAACAAAUCUGAUCGCCUCGCUCUGCUGGACUUCAAGAGGAGAAUAACAGAAGAUCCUCUCCAUAUCAUGAACUCAUGGAAUGAUUCGGUCGAUUUGUGCAGUUGGGUUGGCGUUACGUGCAACCAUGCGAACAAAAGAGUCAUGAUCUUGAACUUGGAAGCUCAAAAGUUGGUAGGCUCCAUACCGCCUUCAAUCGGAAAUCUUACUUAUCUUAAUGGAAUCAACUUGAUAGACAACAACUUUCACGGCGAAAUUCCUCAAGAAAUCGGACGUCUACUAGGCCUGCAGUAUCUCAACCUGUCUUCGAAUUCUUUCGGUGGGAAAAUUCCAACUAAUAUAUCUCACUGCACGCAGCUAAGAAUGCUCAAUGUUGGUUCAAAUAAGCUGAUUGGGUCAAUUCCGAACCAACUCAAUUCGUUGUUGAAUUUAGCCCAUUUUUUGGUUGGUAAAAACAAUCUCACCGGAACAAUUCCGGAUUGGAUAGGAAACUUUUCUUCCAUGUCUGCAAUCUCUCUUGAUAACAACAAUUUUGAAGGAAGCAUACCAUAUGCGCUCGGGCGGUUGACAAGCUUGGGAAGCUUCGAACUUGCAUCAAACAAACUUUCCGGUACGGUUCCUUCUUCAAUCUAUAAUAUAUCGUCGAUACACUCUAUUCAUGUUACCAACAACCAGCUGCAUGGAGAGCUCCCACAAAAUGUGGGGACUACUCUUCCUAAUCUUGAGUUAUUUGCUGGCGGUGUCAACAAAUUCACCGGAAGUAUUCCUGUUUCUUUGUCAAAUGCUUCUAAACUUCGAUUUCUUGAUUUUGCCGAAAAUGGCCUCACGGGAAAAUUCCCUGCUGAAAAUUUUGGAACUUUGAAAGGGUUGGUGAGACUAAACUUUGAUGACAAUAGGCUGGGAAGUGGGAAAACAAGUGACCUGAGUUCUCUCAGUUUUCUGGCCAAUUGUACUAAUCUUGAGGUGUUAAGUUUUAGUCGUAAUCGUUUUGGAGGGGAAUUGCCAGAGUCCAUAGGCAACCUUUCGACGAAACUGAGAAUUUUUACAAUGGGGGGAAAUUUAUUACAUGGAAGCUUCCCUACCCGGGUUGUGAAUCUUGUAAACUUGAUCAAUCUAGGAAUGGAACAAAACUAUCUUGGUGGUAGUGUCCCUGAUGUGAUCGGUAAGCUUCAGAAGUUGCACGGGCUGUAUUUGAAUCUUAACCAAUUCUCUGGGACAAUCCCGUCGACGCUAGGCAACUUGACUUCAGUCACAAGGCUCUUCAUGGAGGGGAAUAGGUUUGAGGGAAGCAUACCUCCGAGUCUCGGGAACUGCCAAAGCUUAUUGAUGCUUAACCUUUCUAGUAAUCAGCUAAGUGGCACCAUACCUAAAGAGGUUAUCGGGCUUUCAUCUCUAUCAAUUUCUUUGUCCAUGUCGAACAAUUCUUUAACUGGUUCUCUACCAUCUGAAGUGGGCGAGUUGGUACAUCUCUCGGAGCUAGAUGUAUCAGGAAACAAGUUAUCGGGUGAAAUCCCCAUAACCCUCGGCAGCUGUACUAGUUUGGUGAGCCUACAUUUGGAAGGUAACCAAUUUGAAGGAACAAUUCCUCAAUCUCUAGCCAACUUAAGAGGCUUGGAAGAAAUAGAUAUUUCACGCAAUAAUUUAUCUGGCCAGAUUCCUGAAUUUUUAGGUAAGCUUGGAGCUCUGAAGCAACUCAAUAUUUCCUAUAAUGAAUUUGAGGGUGAAUUGCCCACAGAAGGGAUAUUUUCAAAUGCGAGUGGUUUCUCGGUUCUUGGAAAUAAUAAGCUCUGCGGUGGCAUCCGAGAAUUACGUCUACAUGAAUGCACCAGCAAAAAAUCUCAUUCAUCUCAAGGACUACUUGCCCCGAAAGUAAUAAUCCCUCUAACUUGUGCACUUGCAUUAAUAAUUACUCUGUCAUGUUUCAUUGCUUCUUGUGCAUUGGUGAAAAGGUCAAGAGGUAGACCUUUACCUUCACGUUCUAAUGAAGAAUCAAAAUCAGGUGUCUCUUAUUUACAACUGGUUGAAUCAACCAAUGGGUUCUCUCCAGAAAAUCUCAUUGGUUCGGGAAGUUUUGGUUCUGUAUACAGGGGAGUACUCUCUGGUAAUGGCAUCAUAGUUGCCGUUAAGGUGUUAAACCUUCAACAAGAAGGAGCUUCCAAGAGUUUCAUUGAUGAAUGCAAAGCUUUAAGAAGUGUAAGGCACCGCAAUCUUCUCAAGAUCAUAACUGCAUGCUCAAGCAUUGAUAGUCAAGGUAAUGAGUUCAAAAGUCUAGUUUAUGAAUUCAUGGAAAAUGGAAGCCUGGACCCUUGGCUGCAUCCAAGGGAUGACGAAGAAUCUCCAAACAAGAGAUUGAGCCUUACCCAAAGACUGAAUAUUGCCAUUGAUGUCGCUUCUGCACUAGAUUAUCUACACCACAAUUGUGAAACAUGCAUUGUUCAUUGUGAUUUAAAGCCAAGCAAUGUUCUUCUUGACGAAGAUAUGGUUGCUCAUGUUGGUGACUUUGGCCUAGCAAAGUUCCUCUUGGAAGCAUCAUAUGGUACAACCUUGUCAGUAGGGCUAAAAGGUUCCAUAGGCUACAUUCCUCCAGGUAUGGAUUUCUAUGAUCCUCAUUUGUUAUAUUCUUUUAGCACUAAAGAAAUUUCAAAUAUGCUAUAAAUUCUAAGCAUGAACUGUUUUGAAUGGCAGAGUAUGGGAUGGGAGGACAAGUCUCCACACAAGGAGAUGUUUAUAGUUACGGGAUACUGUUGCUAGAAAUGUUCACAGGAAAAAGGCCAACUGAUGACAUUUUUAAAGAUGGUCUAAGCAUUCACCAAUUCACCGCCAUGGCAUUGCCGGACCAUGUCAAGGACGUAGUUGAGCCCUCAUUGCUCCUCGAAACAGAUGACGAAGAUGUUGAAGAUGAUGAUGGCGACGGAUAUGGGAAUAAAAUACGGGAAAGACCACUGGCCAAAUACAAGGAUCCCGGCCCGGACAAAGCAAAAAAACUGGAGGAGUGCUUGUAUUCGGUGAUACAAAUAGGCAUCUCGUGCUCCGCAAUAUCACCAGGAGAGCGGAUGCGUAUGGAUGUGGUUGUCAACAAAAUGGGUGCACUUAGAGACUCAUAUCUCAACUUAAGAAGAAGAAGAUGAUGACGAUUACAAUGUGCAACACCAGGCUAAGUUUCUUUACCUAUUCCGAUCUAUAUAUAGCUUUUAUCUGUAUAAAUGUAUGUGACAUCAUGUAAGAUUGAAUCAAUAUUUUAUCACUAUAUAUAUUUGUCUCUUCAUAAUCGCAGGGCUUGGAAUUUGGUUGGUUUAAGAGCAUUUCAUGCUUGCACCUGAACUACUCAAGAGUUCUAUUACCUCUUUCCUUACUUCGGUUGUAUAAAAAACACCAAUCACACAAUUUGAUACUACUUUUCUAAAACAAAACUUAUCAAUCAUGUUGAAGGAAGAGACAUACGCCAACAAAACAAAGAGAUAUUAUUCGAUAGACAAGGGCACACUUACCAGGUCAUGAAGUAGCAGCAAAGUUGCACACCACCGCAAAUAAGUGUUCCCAGUAAAAUUACUGCAAUUUGAGCUUCCAUAACAGUAAGAAGAAUCAACUUUUCAGUAUGAAUUUGUGUUGAUCGGUCUGGGAUUAAAUUUCGCAGAAUGAUCCCUAGGGAAAGAGGGGGAGGAGUCAGGAAAAGAGGUUCUUUGAGGCUUUUUAUCUGGUUAUUUAAAUUUGGAAUAAAGGAAAGAGAAAAAAAAUAGAGGGAUUUGAUUUGGAGGUUUUAGUGUAAAGGUCACAAAAUACUUCUAAUACUAAGAUUGAGUCAAUC